GGUUCGAUGGUGUAGUUGGUUAUCACUUCUGUCUAACAUGCGGCUUACGUAACGUAACCACGUGCUCCACACAGGCGGUCCUCGGUUCGAACCCGGGUCGAAUCA
Molecule: non-coding RNA, 105 nt
Organism: Mycena rosella
Lineage: Eukaryota; Fungi; Basidiomycota; Agaricomycetes; Agaricales; Mycenaceae
Source: the annotation of a GenBank genome assembly